GAUCAUGGCUCAGGACGAACGCUGGCGGCGUGCUUAACACAUGCAAGUCGAACGAUGAUGCCCAGCUUGCUGGGUGGAUUAGUGGCGAACGGGUGAGUAACACGUGAGUAACCUGCCCCUGACUCUGGGAUAAGCGUUGGAAACGACGUCUAAUACUGGAUAUGAUCACUGGCCGCAUGGUCUGUUGGUGGAAAGAUUUUUUGGUUGGGGAUGGACUCGCGGCCUAUCAG
RNAcentral lists this ribosomal RNA (230 nucleotides) under uncultured bacterium. RNAcentral's name for it is "partial 16S ribosomal RNA". It matches the Rfam family "Bacterial small subunit ribosomal RNA", at positions 15 to 244 of the family's 1533-position model. The record is from RNAcentral.